RNAcentral lists this ribosomal RNA (449 nucleotides) under uncultured bacterium. Its description in RNAcentral is "partial 16S ribosomal RNA". It matches the Rfam family "Bacterial small subunit ribosomal RNA", at positions 338 to 795 of the family's 1533-position model. The record is from RNAcentral.
CCUACGGGCGGCUGCAGUGGGGAAUAUUGGACAAUGGGCGCAAGCCUGAUCCAGCAAUACCGCGUGUGUGAAGAAGGCCUUAGGGUUGUAAAGCACUUUCAAUGGGGAGGAAAACCUACCGGUCAAUACCCGGUAGCUUGACAUUACCUGUAGCAGAAGCACCGGCUAACUCCGUGCCAGCAGCCGCGGUAAUACGGAGGGUGCAAGCGUUACGUGGAAUUACUGGGCGUGAAGCGUUAGUAGAGGGGGGAAAGCCCCGGGCUUAACCUGGGAACUGCAUUUGAAACUGGCGGACUAGAGUUGAGUAGAGGGGAGUGGAAUUUCAGGUGUAGCGGUGAAAUGCGUAGAUAUCUGAAGGAACACCAGUGGCGAAGGCGACUCCCUGGACUCAAACUGACGCUGAGGUACGAAAGCGUGGGUAGCAAACAGGAUUAGAUACCCUGGUAGUC